AAACACCUUCUCCCACUGUGGCUCCUGAGAGUAACUGGGUAACUCGAGCAGGGGUGGGGCAAGUAGGAGAACCCAGACUCGGGUAGGAGGGGCUUUAAGACAAGCUUUUCUGUUCUUUCCUCCAACGCAGGGCCCCUGGCUGGGGCUUUGAGCAGCACUUACCCAUUCCCUUCUCCCUCUUCCUGGUUAGCCUGGUCCUGGCUUGAGCUGCCCUCAAGCCACGCAGCCAGGACAUACCUGGCUCUGGAAUGGGUCCAGCCAUGCCUUCAGCUUGCCAUGAACUCCUUCCUAUCUGGGUCACCCCUUAGUUGGGGGGAAAUGUCAAAGAUUCCCUAUUAGUCCAAACCUUAAUCUCAGUGGCUUCUUCCAGACAAAGUGUGAGGCUCCUGAGACACCCAGUGAGAAGCAGCUCAUCCUGAACCUCACAGGAAACACCCUCUGUGCAGAGGGCCCUCCGGAUGAGAAACUGGUCACGCUGAUAUGCCAAGCAGUCAAAGCCACCUUCAACCCGGCCCAAGACGAGUGCAGCAUACGGCUGGCACGUGUUCCAGGAAGUCAGGCCGUGGUCGUCAAAGAAAUCACUAUUCACACUAAGCUCCCUGCCAAGGAUGUGUACGAGCGGCUGAAGGACAAAUGGGAUGAACUAAAGGAGGCAGGGGUCAGUGACAUGCAGCUAGGGGACCAGGGGCCACCGGAGGAGGCCGAGGACCGCUUCAGUAUGCCCCUCAUCAUCACCAUCGUCUGCAUGGCAUCAUUCCUGCUCCUCGUGGCGGCCCUCUAUGGCUGCUGCCACCAGCGC
Molecule: small RNA, 799 nt
Filed under: Pongo abelii (Sumatran orangutan)
Lineage: Eukaryota; Metazoa; Chordata; Mammalia; Primates; Hominidae
Description: retained intron
Source: RNAcentral